CGGGUGAGUAACGCGUGAGGAACCUGCCUCAAAGAGGGGGACAACAGUUGGAAACGACUGCUAAUACCGCAUAAGCCCACGGCUCGGCAUCGAGCAGAGGGAAAAGGAGUGAUCCGCUUUGAGAUGGCCUCGCGUCCGAUUAGCUAGUUGGUGAGGUAACGGCCCACCAAGGCGACGAUCGGUAGCCGGACUGAGAGGAUGAACGGCCACAUUGGGACUGAGACACGGCCCAG
RNAcentral lists this ribosomal RNA (233 nucleotides) under uncultured bacterium. RNAcentral's name for it is "partial 16S ribosomal RNA". It matches the Rfam family "Bacterial small subunit ribosomal RNA", at positions 103 to 334 of the family's 1533-position model. The record is from RNAcentral.